ACCACAAUGAGAUGUUAUCUCACUUCAGUUAGAAUGGUCAUUAUCAAAAAGACAAAAAAUAACACAUGUUGGUGAGGAUACAGAAAAAGGUGAGCUCUUAUACACUAUUGCUGGGAAUGUAAAUUAGUACAACCAUUAUGGAAAACAGUAUGGAG
Molecule: long non-coding RNA, 155 nt
Organism: Sapajus apella (tufted capuchin)
Lineage: Eukaryota; Metazoa; Chordata; Mammalia; Primates; Cebidae
Exons: 3
Source: RefSeq, a predicted model, not a curated record